RNAcentral lists this ribosomal RNA (880 nucleotides) under uncultured bacterium. Its description in RNAcentral is "bacterial SSU rRNA". It matches the Rfam family "Bacterial small subunit ribosomal RNA", at positions 62 to 916 of the family's 1533-position model. The record is from RNAcentral.
UCGAACGCGAAAGAGGGGGAAACUCCUCAAGUAGAGUGGCGAACGGGUGAGUAACGCGUGAAGAACCUGCCUUUCAACAGGGGGAUAACACUCCCAACGGGGUGCUAAUACCGCAUGAGACCACGGGGUCGCAUGGCCCUGAGGUCAAAGGUGGCCUCUGCUUGCAAGCUACCGGUUGAAGAUGGCUUCGCGUCCCAUUAGCUAGUUGGCGGUGUAACGGACCACCAAGGCGACGAUGGGUAGCUGGUUUGAGAGGAUAGUCAGCCACACUGGGACUGAGAUACGGCCCAGACUCCUACGGGAGGCAGCAGUCGAGAGGCUUUGGCAAUGGGGGAAACCCUGACCAAGCGACGCCGCGUGGAGGAUGAAGGCCCUUGGGUUGUAAACUCCUUUUGUCGGGGAAGAAAUGCGAUCAGGUGAACAAUCUGGUCGUUUGAAGGUACCCGACGAAUAAGCUCCGGCUAACUCCGUGCCAGCAGCCGCGGUAACACGGGGGGAGCAAGCGUUGUUCGGAAUCACUGGGCGUAAAGGGCGUGUAGGCGGCUCGGUAAGUGGGAUGUGAAAUGCCCCGGCUCACCCGGGGACCUGCAUCCCAAACUGCUGGGCUUGAGUAUGGGAGAGGAUGAGGGAAUUCCUGGUGUAGCGGUGAAAUGCGUGGAUAUCAGGAGGAAUACCGGUGGCGAAGGCGACCCCCUGGACCAACACUGACGCUGAGGUACGAAGGCGUGGGUAGCAAACAGGAUUAGAUACCCUGGUAGUCCACGCCGUAAACGAUGUCAACUAGUCGUCGGGGCCUUCGGGUCUUGGUGGCGCAGCUAACGCGUGAAGUUGACCGCCUGGGGAGUACGGCCGCAAGGUUAAAACUCAAAUGAAUUGACGG